AGUUUGAUCCUGGCUCAGAGUGAACGCUGGCGGCAGGCCUAACACAUGCAAGUCGAACGGCAGUACAGUAAGAGCUUGCUCUUAUGGGUGGCGAGUGGCGGACGGGUGAGGAAUACAUCGGAAUCUACUCUUUCGUGGGGGAUAACGUAGGGAAACUUACGCUAAUACCGCAUACGACCUACGGGUGAAAGCGGAGGACCUUCGGGCUUCGCGCGGUUGAAUGAGCCGAUGUCGGAUUAGCUAGUUGGCGGGGUAAAGGCCCACCAAGGCGACGAUCCGUAGCUGGUCUGAGAGGAUGAUCAGCCACACUGGAACUGAGACACGGUCCAGACUCCUACGGGAGGCAGCAGUGGGGAAUUUUGGACAAUGGGCGAAAGCCUGAUCCAGCCAUGCCGCGUGCAGGAUGAAGGCCUUCGGGUUGUAAACUGCUUUUGUACGGAACGAAAAGCCUCUUUCUAAUAAAGAGAGGUCAUGACGGUACCGUAAGAAUAAGCACCGGCUAACUACGUGCCAGCAGCCGCGGUAA
This 526-nucleotide ribosomal RNA is filed under the name uncultured bacterium. RNAcentral's name for it is "bacterial SSU rRNA". It matches the Rfam family "Bacterial small subunit ribosomal RNA", at positions 10 to 523 of the family's 1533-position model. The record is from RNAcentral.